UGGGGAAUAUUGCACAAUGGGCGCAAGCCUGAUGCAGCCAUGCCGCGUGUAUGAAGAAGGCCUUCGGGUUGUAAAGUACUUUCAGUCGGGAGGUAGGUGUCAAGGUUAAUAACCUUGGCAAUUGACGUUACCGACAGAAGAAGCACCGGCUAAUUCCGUGCCAGUAGCCGCGGUAAUACGGAGGGUGCAAGCGUUAACCGGAAUUACUGGGCGUAAAGCGCACGCAGGCGGUUGAUUGAGUCAGAUGUGAAAUCCCCGGGCUUAACCCGGGAAUUGCAUCUGAUACUGGUCAGCUAGAGUCUUGUAGAGGGGGGUAGAAUUCCAUGUGUAGCGGUGAAUUGCGUGGAGAUGUGGAGGAAUACCGGUGGCGAAGGCGGCCCCCUGGACAAAGACUGACGCUCAGGUGCGAAAGCGUGGGGAGCAAACAGG
Molecule: ribosomal RNA, 429 nt
Filed under: Chloroflexota bacterium
Lineage: Bacteria; Bacillati; Chloroflexota
Description: Chloroflexi bacterium partial 16S ribosomal RNA
Rfam family: Bacterial small subunit ribosomal RNA
Source: RNAcentral